AUAUAUAAAAUAUAGACUUAUCAGAAAGCAAAGUUAAAAGGCAAGUUUGGGUUUGGUAUCGUGAGGGUCACAGUAGUUUCCUUAAAUUUUUCUAAAGUUGUUGGGAAGAGUCAGAAGCUGCCAGCUCGUUAUAUCUCCUCUCCUCUCCUCUCUAUGAGAAGUCAAUAGGGUUGAUUACAGAAUAUGAAUAAAACAAAACCAAAACCCAG
RNAcentral lists this long non-coding RNA (209 nucleotides) under Prunus persica (peach). RNAcentral's name for it is "long non-coding RNA (PPER_LNC003106)". Lineage: Eukaryota; Viridiplantae; Streptophyta; Magnoliopsida; Rosales; Rosaceae. The record is from RNAcentral.